This 492-nucleotide ribosomal RNA is filed under the name uncultured bacterium. RNAcentral describes it as "partial 16S ribosomal RNA". It matches the Rfam family "Bacterial small subunit ribosomal RNA", at positions 29 to 507 of the family's 1533-position model. The record is from RNAcentral.
AGUGAACGCUGGCGGUAGGCCUAACACAUGCAAGUCGAACGGCAGCACAGUAAGAGCUUGCUCUUACGGGUGGCGAGUGGCGGACGGGUGAGGAAUACAUCGGAAUCUACUUUUUCGUGGGGGAUAACGUAGGGGAACUUACGCUAAUACCGCAUACGACAUACGGGUGAAAGCAGGGGAGCUUCGGACCUUGCGCGAUUGAAGGAGCCGAUGUCGGAUUAGCUAGUUGGCGGGGUAAAGGCCGACCAAGGCGACGAUCCGUAGCUGGUCUGAGAGGAUGACCAGCCACACUGGGACUGAGACACGGUCCAGACUCCUACGGGAGGCAGCAGUGGGGAAUAUUGGACAAUGGGCGCAAGCCUGAUCCAGCCAUACCGCGUGGGUGAAGAAGGCCUUCGGGUUGUAAAGCCCUUUUGUUGGGAAAGAAAAGCAGCAGGUUAAUACCCCGCUGUGCUGACGGUACCCAAAGAAUAAGCACCGGCUAACUUCGUG